ACAUGGCUCCUUGUUUUCCUACAUAGGGAGUCGGACCUGCUCGGUGAAUAUAUUUUAACAGCCGCGGUACUCUGACCGUGCAAAGGUAGCAUAAUCAUUUGCCUUAUAAUUGAAGGCUAGUAUGAAUGGUUUGACGAGAAUUAAGCUGUCUCUUUUUAACUAAAUAUAACUUUAUUAAGAGGUGAAGAAGCCUGUAUUUUAUUGAAAGACAAGAAGACCCUAUCGAGCUUUAAAGAAUUUAGUAGAUUUACCAUAUAUUAAUAAAAAAGUAAAGCAACUAAAUAUUUUGGUUGGGGCGACUGAGGAACAAGCAAAGCUUCCUUUAUGCUAAUUAAAACUUACAAGUAUUGAUCCAAUUUAUUUGAUUAAAGAAAUUAGUUACCGUAGGGAUAACAGCAUAAUCUCCUUUGAGAGUUCUCAUCGAAAAGGGGGUUUGUGACCUCGAUGUUGGACCAGAAUACCCAGAAGAUGCAGCCGUCUUCAAUGGUUGGUCUGUUCGACCAUUAAAAUUCUACAUGA
This 519-nucleotide ribosomal RNA is filed under the name Reishia clavigera. RNAcentral's name for it is "partial large subunit ribosomal RNA". It matches the Rfam family "Bacterial large subunit ribosomal RNA", at positions 1813 to 2603 of the family's 2925-position model. Lineage: Eukaryota; Metazoa; Mollusca; Gastropoda; Neogastropoda; Muricidae. The record is from RNAcentral.